RNAcentral lists this ribosomal RNA (497 nucleotides) under uncultured bacterium. Its description in RNAcentral is "partial 16S ribosomal RNA". It matches the Rfam family "Bacterial small subunit ribosomal RNA", at positions 28 to 507 of the family's 1533-position model. The record is from RNAcentral.
GAUGAACGCUGGCGGCGUGCCUAAUACAUGCAAGUCGAGCGAACAGAUGAGGAGCUUGCUCCUCUGACGUUAGCGGCGGACGGGUGAGUAACACGUGGAUAACCGACCUAUAAGACUGGGAUAACUUCGGGAAACCGGAUCUAAUACCGGAUAAUAUAUUGAACCGCAUGGUUCAAUAGUGAAAGACGGUUUUGCUGUCACUUAUAGAUGGAUCCGCGCCGCAUUAGCUAGUUGGUAAGGUAACGGCUUACCAAGGCAACGAUGCGUAGCCGACCUGAGAGGGUGAUCGGCCACACUGGAACUGAGACACGGUCCAGACUCCUACGGGAGGCAGCAGUAGGGAAUCUUCCGCAAUGGGCGAAAGCCUGACGGAGCAACGCCGCGUGAGUGAUGAAGGUCUUCGGAUCGUAAAACUCUGUUAUUAGGGAAGAACAAAUGUGUAAGUAACUAUGCACGUCUUGACGGUACCUAAUCAGAAAGCCACGGCUAACUACGUG